Molecule: small nucleolar RNA, 87 nt
Organism: Sciurus vulgaris (Eurasian red squirrel)
Lineage: Eukaryota; Metazoa; Chordata; Mammalia; Rodentia; Sciuridae
Source: Ensembl
GGCUAAUGAUGUAUUAGCAUCUAUUAGCUGAAUUUACUGUCAAUGUUUAACAUAGUACUUUGACUCCUAGAAUUACAUUGAGACCUU